AAAAUUUAAUUUAGAUUUAAUUAGUGGUGCACUGUAAUCAAGAUACAUGGUUUCAAGGAGAUGUUUUUAAUACUGAAGGGGUAAAAGUUGCCUUUGUUUAAUUGGAACUCCCACUGACAGUGACCUGAAAAGAUUUGCCUUUUGGGUUGGGUGGCUGUAGCCAGCACAGGAUCAAACCAGUUCCUGGGGCAGGCAGGCUACAGGACAAAUGCUGCACUGUGCCCUCUGCUCCCAAGUACAUGAAUGGGAAGGACAAAGAAGAACAAAACUUUGGGAAAGAGUUUCUUUCCAUCAUUAAA
Molecule: long non-coding RNA, 299 nt
Filed under: Lonchura striata (white-rumped munia)
Lineage: Eukaryota; Metazoa; Chordata; Aves; Passeriformes; Estrildidae
Description: domestica (Bengalese finch) lncRNA (ENSLSDG00000017767.1)
Source: RNAcentral